CGCUCCAGGCCAGCCAGGGGGGCCGUGUCUCCUGCUGGGCCCCCGCCUGGUCAGCGCAGGAAGGCAACCAGCGGGGAUGCUGGGCAGGAGAACGACCCUGGGGCUCAAGCCCACCCCGCGGAGCCCAGCCCAGCAGGGCUGCGCCAGGCAGCUUCUCGGAGCGGGCCCAUCCCCGUGGCCUCCAGCCCCGCUCUAGCUCGGCCCCAGGGACGGAGACCGGCCUGUCCCCUGCCGCCUCCAGCCUCGCCGGGCUCUGCCCGCGCCCCAGCCCCGGCUCCCAGCUCGGGCCCCCCCGGUCUUACUUCUGCGCGCCGCUGGCUGCGCCCCGCUCCUUUGUUCCCUCCGCGCCGCUCCUGCCUUCCCCGGCUGGGGCUGGCUCCUCCUCUGCGGGCUGUGGCUCCCGGCCACCGGCCGCUCUUAAAGAGCCAGCCCGGCCCUCGCACCCGCCUCCCGAGCCAGCCCGGGGGGUGCAGAGCGCGGAUGGGUGUGUCUACACGGCCUCGGAAACCUGGACUCACCCCGCUGGGAGCCCAACCCCCUACCGGCCACACGCAAAGGUGCCUGAUCCCGGUCUGCAAGUCCCGGGCACCCUGAGUCCUGCGGAGACUGGGGGCCAAGCCCCGUCGUUGUGCAGUGUGGACGCAGCUCAAGCCCCAAAGCCCAGUCAGAAGGAACGUGUCGCUUUGGCUGAAAAUUUUGAUGGGAG
Chrysemys picta bellii (western painted turtle) is the source of this 706-nucleotide long non-coding RNA. RefSeq lists it as uncharacterized. Lineage: Eukaryota; Metazoa; Chordata; Testudines; Emydidae. The record is from RefSeq and is a predicted model, not a curated record.